RNAcentral lists this ribosomal RNA (435 nucleotides) under Pseudo-nitzschia fraudulenta. RNAcentral describes it as "partial Bacterial small subunit ribosomal RNA". It matches the Rfam family "Bacterial small subunit ribosomal RNA", at positions 12 to 445 of the family's 1533-position model. Lineage: Eukaryota; Bacillariophyta; Bacillariophyceae; Bacillariales; Bacillariaceae. The record is from RNAcentral.
UUUGAUCCUGGCUCAGGAUGAACGCUAGCGGCAGGCCUAAUACAUGCAAGUCGAGGGGUAGAUUUAACUUCGGUUGAAUCGAGACCGGCGGACGGGUGCGUAACGCGUAUGCAACCUGCCUGUAUCAGGGGGAUAGCCCGGAGAAAUUCGGAUUAAUACCCCAUAAUAUCACUAAAUCACAUGGUUUUAUGAUUAAAGAUUUAUCGGAUACAGAUGGGCAUGCGUCCUAUUAGCUAGUAGGCGAGGUAACGGCUCACCUAGGCAAUGAUAGGUAGGGGUUCUGAGAGGAAGGUCCCCCACACUGGCACUGAGAUACGGGCCAGACUCCUACGGGAGGCAGCAGUAGGGAAUAUUGGUCAAUGGACGAGAGUCUGAACCAGCCAUGCCGCGUGCAGGAAGACGGCCUUCUGGGUUGUAAACUGCUUUUGACAGGGA